UGGGGAAUAUUGGACAAUGGGCGCAAGCCUGAUCCAGCCAUGCCGCGUGAGUGACGAAGGCCUUAGGGUUGUAAAGCUCUUUUGGCGGGGAAGAUAAUGACGGUACCCGCAGAAUAAGCUCCGGCUAACUUCGUGCCAGCAGCCGCGGUAAUACGAAGGGAGCUAGAGUUGUUCGGAAUCACUGGGCGUAAAGCGCACGUAGGCGGACUUUCAAGUCAGGGGUGAAAUCCCGGGGCUCAACCUCGGAACUGCCUUUGAUACUGUUGGUCUCGAGUCCGGAAGAGGUGAGUGGAAUUCCUAGUGUAGAGGUGAAAUUCGUAGAUAUUAGGAAGAACACCGGUUGCGAAGGCGGCUCACUGGUCCGGUACUGACGCUGAGGUGCGAAAGCGUGGGGAGCAAACA
Molecule: ribosomal RNA, 402 nt
Filed under: uncultured bacterium
Lineage: Bacteria
Description: bacterial SSU rRNA
Rfam family: Bacterial small subunit ribosomal RNA
Source: RNAcentral